This is a long non-coding RNA of Drosophila biarmipes, 782 nucleotides long. RefSeq lists it as uncharacterized. The transcript has 2 exons. The record is from RefSeq and is a predicted model, not a curated record. NCBI's taxonomy places the organism in Eukaryota, Metazoa, Arthropoda, Insecta, Diptera, Drosophilidae.
AGAAAAAUGUGACUUUUAAAUUUAAUAUUUCCAAAAUAUCGGGAUUAAAAGCUCCCGAUAUUUUUGAAUUUCUAUAAUUUAAUUUAUUUUACAAUUUCUUGUUUUAAAUACUUAAAUUUUAAGUUGCCUUUGGCUGGAGUAUAAUGGGUCAAGGCGAUGCAAUGCCGUAUUGUCCGGCUGCUCACUGUUUAUGGAGGCGCUAAGAUGAUAAGAAUGCAAAGUUCUUAGUUCAAAGUUAUAAACUUCUGAUAUGGUGCUUGCAGCGCGAUCAAGAGGUGUAUAGCAGACAGAAUUCGAAUUCAGUGUCCAGUUCGAAAAUAUAAAUCAACAUGAAUUUACUGAUCGUCCUGUUUGCCUUGGUGGCCGUAGUUACUGCCCGUUAUUAUUAUAGGUUUGAACCUGAAAGUGAUUGUUGUCCAGGAUACCGAUACGAAAGGGAUUUAUCUCAAAAGCCGUGCUCAACAAGCAAUUGCAAUCCCUGGGGGUAGGGGGCAUAAAACGUAAAAGAUAUUGCUUUCAAAAAAAUGUGCUAAUUAUAAAAUAAACUCUUGUGCACAAAUGAUAGCAUUAUAUAAAUAUUUUUGUUAAUUAAUUGUUAAAUUUUAAGUUGGAUCUGGCCAGAGAACGAUGCAAAUCAACAAGUGAGUGAGGGUCAAGGCAAUUCACUUUAUAGAGGCAAUAAGAUGAUAAGGCGGUUGAAUCUCUUCCAAGUGUUUGCUCUUUCGAGGGUGCAAUUGUUGAACAAGUUUGUGAAAAUCUAUAAUAAAUAUGUUGUGACCUAA